Molecule: ribosomal RNA, 509 nt
Filed under: uncultured bacterium
Lineage: Bacteria
Description: partial 16S ribosomal RNA
Source: RNAcentral
GGAGUUAGCCGGUGCUUCUUCUGUGAGUGAUGUCCUUCCUGCCGGCUAUUAACCCGCAGGCCUUCUUCCUCACUGAAAGUGCUUUACAACCCGAAGGCCUUCUUCACACACGCGGCAUGGCUGGAUCAGGGUUGCCCCCAUUGUCCAAUAUUCCCCACUGCUGCCUCCCGUAGGAGUCUGGGCCGUGUCUCAGUCCCAGUGUGGCUGAUCAUCCUCUCAGACCAGCUACGGAUCGUCGCCUUGGUGAGCCGUUACCUCACCAACCAGCUAAUCCGACAUAGGCUCAUCCGAUAGCGCGAGGCCCGAAGGUCCCCCGCUUUCCCCCGUAGGGCGUAUGCGGUAUUAGCCUGGGUUUCCCCCAGGUUAUCCCCCGACUACCGGGCAGAUUCCUAUGCAUUACUCACCCGUCCGCCGCUCGCCACCAGGGAGCAAGCUCCCCGUGCUGCCGCUCGACUUGCAUGUGUUAGGCCUGCCGCCAGCGUUCAAUCUGAGCCAUGAUCAAACUCUGA